GACGAACGCUGGCGGCACGCCUAACACAUGCAAGUCGAGCGGAGAUUGAGAGCUUGCUCUCAUGAUCAGCGGCGGACGGGUGAGUAACACGUGAGCAACCUGCCUUUCAGAGGGGGACAACAGUUGGAAACGACUGCUAAUACCGCAUAACAUUGCCGAACGGCAUCGUUUGGCAAUCAAAGGAGCAAUCCGCUGAAAGAUGGGCUCGCGUCUGAUUAGAUAGUUGGUGAGGUAACGGCUCACCAAGUCGACGAUCAGUAGCCGGACUGAGAGGUUGAUCGGCCACAUUGGGACUGAGACACGGCCCAGACUCCUACGGGAGGCAGCAGUGGGGGAUAUUGGACAAUGGGGGAAACCCUGAUCCAGCGAUGCCGCGUGAGGGAAGAAGGUUUUCGGAUUGUAAACCUCUGUGGACAGGGACGAUAAUGACGGUACCUGUUUAGAAAGCCACGGCUAACUACGUG
Molecule: ribosomal RNA, 464 nt
Filed under: uncultured bacterium
Lineage: Bacteria
Description: bacterial SSU rRNA
Rfam family: Bacterial small subunit ribosomal RNA
Source: RNAcentral